GUGGGGAAUAUUGCGCAAUGGGCGAAAGCCUGACGCAGCGACGCCGCGUGAAGGAAGAAGGUCUUCGGAUCGUAAACUUCUAUCCUUGGUGAAGAUAAUGACGGUAGCCGAGAAGGAAGCCCCGGCUAACUACGUGCCAGCAGCCGCGGUAAUACGUAGGGGGCAAGCGUUGUCCGGAAUGAUUGGGCGUAAAGGGCGCGUAGGCGGCCUGGUAAGUCUGGAGUGAAAGUCCUGCUUUUAAGGUGGGAAUUGCUUUGGAUACUGUCGGGCUUGAGUGCAGGAGAGGUAAGUGGAAUUUCCGGUGUAGCGGUGAAAUGCGUAGAGAUCGGGAGGAACACCAGUGGCGAAGGCGACUUACUGGACUGUAACUGACGCUGAGGCGCGAAAGUGUGGGGAGCAAACAGGAUUAGAAACCCUAGUAGUCC
RNAcentral lists this ribosomal RNA (425 nucleotides) under uncultured bacterium. RNAcentral's name for it is "partial 16S ribosomal RNA". It matches the Rfam family "Bacterial small subunit ribosomal RNA", at positions 354 to 796 of the family's 1533-position model. The record is from RNAcentral.